GAACACUAACUUUAGAUGUAAUGGAAGAAUUUGAAGUUUUAAUUGCACUGUUCUUGGUAUUUGGCAUCAGCGAUGUGAAAUUUGAAUCCGAUGGUGAUGAUGAGAUGAUAGUUUCUACAGUAUUUUCCGAAUUCUCCCUGGCGCCAGAAUUUAGAUGGCACAUUUCGUUCGAAAUAUCUGUUUCUGGCACAUUAAUCACAACACUGGACGAAGAAGGUAACGAUUGAUAAGAGAUUUUGGUCAGAUUUACUAUAGGGCUUACACUGUUAAUGUUGGCUGGAAGUAUAAAAAUAGAAUUUUUUUAAAUUAUGUCGUCGGCUUUAUCGAUGAUCGAAAGCAAUUUAUUUUUUACCUUUAUGCUUUUCCCACGCUGCCGGUAACUCGGAUAAAC
This 391-nucleotide long non-coding RNA is filed under the name Androctonus crassicauda. The record is from RNAcentral. Lineage: Eukaryota; Metazoa; Arthropoda; Arachnida; Scorpiones; Buthidae.